GUUUAUUGUAUACCUAAAAUAAAACCCUAGACAAAUCUCGAUUGUGUUAAGUUUCGACUUCCACAUCAGUUAAGCGUGUUUGGGUGAGAGUAGUACUAGGAUGGGUGACCUCCUGGGAAGUCCUUGUAUAGCAUCCC
This 137-nucleotide ribosomal RNA is filed under the name Arabidopsis halleri subsp. gemmifera. Lineage: Eukaryota; Viridiplantae; Streptophyta; Magnoliopsida; Brassicales; Brassicaceae. The record is from RNAcentral.